This 748-nucleotide ribosomal RNA is filed under the name Pantoea sp. AMG 501. Its description in RNAcentral is "bacterial SSU rRNA". It matches the Rfam family "Bacterial small subunit ribosomal RNA", at positions 1 to 738 of the family's 1533-position model. Lineage: Bacteria; Pseudomonadati; Pseudomonadota; Gammaproteobacteria; Enterobacterales; Erwiniaceae. The record is from RNAcentral.
UUAAAUUGAAGAGUUUGAUCAUGGCUCAGAUUGAACGCUGGCGGCAGGCCUAACACAUGCAAGUCGGACGGUAGCACAGAGAGCUUGCUCUCGGGUGACGAGUGGCGGACGGGUGAGUAAUGUCUGGGGAUCUGCCCGAUAGAGGGGGAUAACCACUGGAAACGGUGGCUAAUACCGCAUAACGUCGCAAGACCAAAGAGGGGGACCUUCGGGCCUCUCACUAUCGGAUGAACCCAGAUGGGAUUAGCUAGUAGGCGGGGUAACGGCCCACCUAGGCGACGAUCCCUAGCUGGUCUGAGAGGAUGACCAGCCACACUGGAACUGAGACACGGUCCAGACUCCUACGGGAGGCAGCAGUGGGGAAUAUUGCACAAUGGGCGCAAGCCUGAUGCAGCCAUGCCGCGUGUAUGAAGAAGGCCUUCGGGUUGUAAAGUACUUUCAGCGGGGAGGAAGGCGAUGUGGUUAAUAACCGUAUCGAUUGACGUUACCCGCAGAAGAAGCACCGGCUAACUCCGUGCCAGCAGCCGCGGUAAUACGGAGGGUGCAAGCGUUAAUCGGAAUUACUGGGCGUAAAGCGCACGCAGGCGGUCUGUUAAGUCAGAUGUGAAAUCCCCGGGCUUAACCUGGGAACUGCAUUUGAAACUGGCAGGCUUGAGUCUCGUAGAGGGGGGUAGAAUUCCAGGUGUAGCGGUGAAAUGCGUAGAGAUCUGGAGGAAUACCGGUGGCGAAGGCGGCCCCCUGGACGAAG